Molecule: ribosomal RNA, 594 nt
Filed under: uncultured Pseudozyma
Lineage: Eukaryota; Fungi; Basidiomycota; Ustilaginomycetes; Ustilaginales; Ustilaginaceae
Description: eukaryotic LSU rRNA
Rfam family: Eukaryotic large subunit ribosomal RNA
Source: RNAcentral
UAGUACGGCGAGUGAAGAGGGAAGAGCCCAAGAUUGAAAGCUGGCGUCUUCGGCGUCCGCAUUGUAAUCUCAAGAAGUGUUUUCCGCUUCGGACCAUGCCUAAGUCCCUUGGAAAAGGGCAUCAUAGAGGGUGAUAAUCCCGUACAUGGCAUGGAGCGCCCGAAGCUUUGUGAUACGCUUUCUAAGAGUCGAGUUGUUUGGGAAUGCAGCUCAAAAUGGGUGGUAAAUGCCAUCUAAGGCUAAAUAUUGGGGAGAGACCGAUAGCGAACAAGUACAGUGAUGGAAAGAUGAAAAGAACUUUGAAAAGAGAGUUAAACAGUACGUGAAAUUGCCAAAAGGGAAGGGUAGGAGGUCAGAGAUGCGGCCUGGGAUUCAGCCUUGCUUUUGCUUGGUGUUUUUCCCAGAUUGCAGGCCAACGUCGGUUUUGGGCACUGGAGAAGGAUAGGAGGAACGUGGCACCCCUCGGGGUGUGUUAUAGCCUCCUACUGGAUACAGCGACCGAGACCGAGGACAGCAGCGUACUCGCAAGAGCGGGCCUUCGGGCACCUUUACGCUUAGGGCGUUGGCAUAAUGGCCCUCUACCACCCGUCUUGA